UCAAAAUAUAUUUUGUACUGUUCAUGUCCAAUGUUUGACCGUUCAUUUUAUUUGAAGUUUUUUUAUAAUUAGUAUUUUUAUGUCUGACUAAUUAGAUGAUAAAACAUGAAUAUUACUUUAUGUCUGACUAAUUUUUUUCAUAUAUUUUUCAAAUAUGAUGGACGAUCAAACGUUGAACACGAAUACCUACGGCUACACCUAUU
Molecule: non-coding RNA, 203 nt
Organism: Oryza glaberrima (African rice)
Lineage: Eukaryota; Viridiplantae; Streptophyta; Magnoliopsida; Poales; Poaceae
Source: Rfam